AUGAACGCUGGCGGCUUGCCUAAUACAUGCAAGUCGAGCGAACGGACGAGAAGCUUGCUUCUCUGAUGUUAGCGGCGGACGGGUGAGUAACACGUGGAUAACCUACCUAUAAGACUGGGAUAACUUCGGGAAACCGGAGCUAAUACCGGAUAAUAUUUUGAACCGCAUGGUUCAAAAGUGAAAGACGGUCUUGCUGUCACUUAUAGAUGGAUCCGCGCUGCAUUAGCUAGUUGGUAAGGUAACGGCUUACCAAGGCAACGAUGCAUAGCCGACCUGAGAGGGUGAUCGGCCACACUGGAACUGAGACACGGUCCAGACUCCUACGGGAGGCAGCAGUAGGGAAUCUUCCGCAAUGGGCGAAAGCCUGACGGAGCAACGCCGCGUGAGUGAUGAAGGUCUUCGGAUCGUAAAACUCUGUUAUUAGGGAAGAACAUAUGUGUAAGUAACUGUGCACAUCUUGACGGUACCUAAUCAGAAAGCCACGGCUAACUACGUG
Molecule: ribosomal RNA, 496 nt
Filed under: uncultured bacterium
Lineage: Bacteria
Description: partial 16S ribosomal RNA
Rfam family: Bacterial small subunit ribosomal RNA
Source: RNAcentral